GUGGGGAAUUUUGGACAAUGGGCGCAAGCCUGAUCCAGCAAUGCCGCGUGUGUGAAGAAGGCCUUCGGGUUGUAAAGCACUUUUGGCAGGAAAGAAAUAGUGCGUGCUAAUACCAUGCGCGAAUGACGGUACCUGCAGAAUAAGCACCGGCUAACUACGUGCCAGCAGCCGCGGUAAGACGUAGGGUGCAAGCGUUAAUCGGAAUUACUGGGCGUAAAGCGUGCGCAGGCGGUUUUGUAAGACAGGUGUGAAAUCCCCGGGCUAAACCUGGGAACUGCACUUGUGACUGGAAGGCUAGAGUGUGUCAGAGGGAGGUGGAAUUCCGCGUGUAGCAGUGAAAUGCGUAGAGAUGCGGAGGAACACCGAUGGCGAAGGCAGCCUCCUGGGAUAACACUGACGCUCAGGCACGAAAGCGUGGGGAGCAAACAGGAUUAGAAACCCCGGUAGUCC
Molecule: ribosomal RNA, 450 nt
Filed under: uncultured bacterium
Lineage: Bacteria
Description: partial 16S ribosomal RNA
Rfam family: Bacterial small subunit ribosomal RNA
Source: RNAcentral